This is a non-coding RNA of Nipponia nippon (crested ibis), 801 nucleotides long. NCBI's taxonomy places the organism in Eukaryota, Metazoa, Chordata, Aves, Pelecaniformes, Threskiornithidae. The record is from RefSeq and is a predicted model, not a curated record.
AUGUCCGGGCGAGGCAAGGGCGGGAAGGGGCUCGGGAAGGGGGGCGCCAGGCGCCACCGGAAGGUGCUGCGCGACAACAUCCAGGGCAUCACCAAGCCGGCCAUCCGCCGCCUGGCGCGGCGCGGCGGCGUGAAGCGCAUCUCGGGGCUGAUCUACGAGGAGACGCGCGGCGUGCUGAAGGUCUUCCUGGAGAACGUGAUCCGCGACGCCGUCACCUACACCGAGCACGCCAAGAGGAAGACGGUGACGGCCAUGGACGUGGUCUACGCCCUCAAGCGCCAGGGACGGCGCUGGGCGGCUUCUGCCGCUCAUUCUGUCUCUCAGGCAGGGGCUUGUAGUGGGUAGCGGAUGGCGCGGACGAAGCAGACGGCGCGUAAGUCGACGGGCGGGAAGGCGCCCCGCAAGCAGCUGGCCACCAAGGCGGCCCGCAAGAGCGCGCCGGCCACGGGCGGCGUGAAGAAGCCGCACCGGUACCGGCCCGGCACGGUGGCGCUGCGCGAGAUCCGGCGCUACCAGAAGUCGACGGAGCUGCUGAUCCGCAAGCUGCCCUUCCAGCGCCUGGUGCGGGAGAUCGCGCAGGACUUCAAGACGGACCUGCGCUUCCAGAGCUCGGCCGUGAUGGCGCUGCAGGAGGCGAGCGAGGCCUACCUGGUGGGGCUCUUCGAGGACACCAACCUCUGCGCCAUCCACGCCAAGCGCGUCACCAUCAUGCCCAAGGACAUCCAGCUGGCCCGCCGCAUCCGCGGCGAGCGCGCCUGAGGCUCCUGCCUUGCCACCGCCCAACCCAAAGGCUCUUUUAAG